RNAcentral lists this long non-coding RNA (2705 nucleotides) under Brassica rapa (field mustard). RNAcentral's name for it is "long non-coding RNA (BRAP_LNC005393)". The record is from RNAcentral. Lineage: Eukaryota; Viridiplantae; Streptophyta; Magnoliopsida; Brassicales; Brassicaceae.
CGCGGCCGGAGAGUUUGCUGUGCUGGCGACGGUGGUGAGGACGGCGGGUGGUGGAGUCGGAGGGACGAGAUGGGAUGGAAAUGGGCUUAGGAGUAAGAGCUAAGUGGGUUCGUGGAGGGAAACAAACCAGCAAAUCUGCAGAGUAACCAGAAGAAGAAGAAGGUCCUCUGUUUCCAUCUCUUCCUUUGAUCAUAGCUUUUGUUUUUCUUGGGGGGUUUGGUUUUUUGAUCGAUCUCUCAACAAUGGAAGGGUUCAGCUUUUUAUGUUUGGUUUUUUUAUAAAAUUCUUGUUCUUUUUUUAUAAACUUUUCUUUCUAGGCUUUGAAAUGCCUGUGCUUACAGCUCUUACAUGCCUUUUGCUUUUGAGGGGAAAACAUUGUUUUCAUUUGAAACCCUAUUUUAUAGAAAGUGAAAAUAGGUGGUGCAAUAUCAAUAUAUUUUUUUAUAAAUGUUGAUUGUGAAAAUAAUAAAUGCUGUGAAACUGGUUGAUAAAUAUGGCAAGAAGAUGUGAUGGGGUCAAAGACUUCAAAGGAGUGAAGAGGGUUCAUUACAACUUUAUUCCAUCAUGUACAAGAAGCUUCUUGAACUGAAAUAUUCACUUUCAGCAUUCAAUGGUCGUCACCAUUUCUUCUUCAUUCAUUUGUUUUUCAUUUCACUUUGAGAUUUAUGCCAAUGUUAGAUUGAUAGGGUUUGUAAAUAUAUGAUGAACUUAAGGACUUAGUGUAUCAAGUGUGAUCAUUAUUUUGUCGAAAAUAAAGAUUGGCAUGUGAAUGUGACAAGGGUGAUUAUAGUCGAAUGCUCCGAUAAACUAAAGUUGGAAAGGUUUCGUGGGCUUUACUUUUGUUAAUACAAUAUAAAAUCAUCAUAUUAUUAUAUGAAUAGAAAAAAGAAAGACAAUGGUAUAAAGAGGAAAAAGAUUGGAAGGGCACGAGGCUUGUUUCUUUAUCCAAUGGUACUCACAAGCUGUAAGGUCACAUUUCACUUUGUUCUUGUCAUCUUCAACCAUAAACUCAUAAAAUCAUCUCCCAGUUUAACUACCUUCUAACUUAUCACUAAACUAUAGCAACAACAUUCCCUUUGUUGCUGCCACUAUAGUUGAAUACUGGUUGAAUUCACAUGGAAUGGGUAAAUAAGCAUGCUCUAUUCCCUGCUCUCACUCUAGUUAACUUAAACUUACCAAUGAUGCUAUAAUUGCGUUCAUGCCUUUGAAGUAGUACAGUUUAUAUUUGCUGGAAUGAUAUAUACAUGCACUUGGACAAAAUAUCAAAUAAAUUGAAACUACCAGGCCCCAACAAUCAAAUAAUUGAAAGGAUGCAAAGAAAAGUUUGGUAUUUGUUAUCAUGAUAAGUUGCAUCAACAUAGAGGUAGGCCUUUAGCACUAGGGAAAAACACUUUUAUUUAAUCGUUAAGGAGCAAUCCCUUGAUAAAUAAAUUAUGUAAAGGAUAAUAUUGUUUUUAUAUUAAUUUCUUAAAAGAUCAAGUAGAUGAAGAUAGAGUUUGAUUUAGUUGUACUCCUGAGAGCGACAAUGUUGAGAGAUCAUGUGGGUAGGGCUUUGGCACUAACAGCCCCAUUAGAAAAAAAAAGUUAAGCAGUUCAUUUUACUCUUUCACAAGCUGAAGUCUUUUUUUUUCAAAUCACACUGAAACAUAUUUCAUAAUAGAUAUAUUUAGGUCGUAAAAGCUCUUAACUGAGACAAACUUCAUGAUAAAUGUGACAAAAGGAAGCCUGUUUCAUAUGAAAAGUAAUUGUAUUGCUUAACUCUUUUAACAUGUAAUCAAAGUUGGGGACUGAAGCAUCAUUCACACCUAUAAGCUAUUGUUGGUUCACUCUCUAAUCAAAAAAUUUAUAUGUGAGAUAUAUAUUCUGUGCUAGUAGUAGUCUUUGUAGCACAUAUAUUUUUCAUUUAAAUGUAUGCUAGCCUGCUAGGACCACAUUUUUGUUUUAUAAUAGGGGAUUAACUUAUGGUUUAGCGAAACUAACAACGUAAUCUCUUUCGAUCUACACUCUAUCGCCCUUCGCAGAUUUAUAUAAUAAUGUCUAGAAAUUGCACUAGUGACCUAAUCAAAUAACAAUCCGUUGGAUCAUGAUAGUGAUGAUACCACCCAAUGCCUACAAAAACGAUUACUGUAUUAAAGAAUGUGUUCGUAAAUCGUAAUGAUAUCAGUUCAAAUCUUGACAUACUUUAUUGUUCAGGGAACUUCGAUAAGAAUAUUGAAAAGUGAACUGCAAGUACAGCUAAUAGCCUAAUAUAACUUUAAACUUGAAAGAGAUUUGCUUUAAUUUUAUUUUCUCCAAAGUAACGAGCCAUAAUGGGCUUAAACUUGGAUCAAGUAGUCUUUCGUAGUUAUUAAUUGUUUGCUUGGCGACGGUUGGAGUCGGAGGGACAAGGUGGACUACAAAUGGGCUUUGAGGUAAGAGCUAAGUGGGUUCUUGAAGGGAAACAAACCAACAAAUCUGCACUGCAGGGUAGCCACCAGAAGAUCAUCAUUGACGGUAGGAAGGUUCUUGCACUUUCUCACCAAAGUUUGUGCUAUAGUAGGAGGUGUAUGAUUGAUCUCUCUCUCUCUCUCUCUUUUCUCCAAGCAACGUACAAUAGAUUGUAAAAAUCAUUAAAUCUAAUAAAUGUUGGUUUAUCAUUUGUAAUCCCGUAGGCGCUUCCACAGUUUCUGGAAUCCUUGAUUUAUUUUUAUUCGGCUGAGUCUCAC